UCACACUAUCAAGCUUGGCUUGUUGUUGGGCCCUCUGUCACCGGGUGACAGGUCCAAAAGACAAUAACCGGUGUCAUACAGACUCUAUAUGCAACGAGCUUAUCACAGCACGCAUCUGGCAGUCGUGUGGCCUGGUUUUUUGAUAAAUAUAUUUCUCAA
Molecule: unclassified non-coding RNA, 159 nt
Filed under: uncultured Chaetothyriales
Lineage: Eukaryota; Fungi; Ascomycota; Eurotiomycetes; Chaetothyriales
Description: sequence contains ITS2
Source: RNAcentral